RNAcentral lists this ribosomal RNA (253 nucleotides) under uncultured bacterium. Its description in RNAcentral is "partial 16S ribosomal RNA". It matches the Rfam family "Bacterial small subunit ribosomal RNA", at positions 524 to 776 of the family's 1533-position model. The record is from RNAcentral.
UACGAAGGGGGCUAGCGUUGCUCGGAAUCACUGGGCGUAAAGCGCACGUAGGCGGAUUUUUAAGUCAGGGGUGAAAUCCUGGAGCUCAACUCCAGAACUGCCUUUGAUACUGGGAAUCUCGAGUCCGGGAGAGGUGAGUGGAACUCCGAGUGUAGAGGUGAAAUUCGUAGAUAUUCGGAAGAACACCAGUGGCGAAGGCGGCUCACUGGCCCGGUACUGACGCUGAGGAGCGAAAGCGUGGGGAGCGAACAGG